Molecule: transfer RNA, 102 nt
Filed under: Ceratovacuna nekoashi
Lineage: Eukaryota; Metazoa; Arthropoda; Insecta; Hemiptera; Hormaphididae
Description: tRNA-Val
Source: RNAcentral
AUUUAGAAAGAAAGAAGUUUAAUAUAUAUAUAUAUAUUAAAUAAAUAUCUAAAUUUAAGUAUAUCAUUUACAAUGAUAAGAUGUUUUUUAACUUUAUUUAAA